CAACACUGGGCGCAAACUCAUGAUGCUCGUCGGAGUUGGAGCAUACUGCUUAGACGUUGCGCUACGGAAAUUCACAACCCUCUAGCAAACCACGAGAAAACUGGUGCUAUCUGAUGGAACUCCCAUACGGACUCGGGAGAGGCGAAGGUCGAGAGCCGUUCGUCCCCCGAAACACAACCCAGCCGAGCCGCACUGCUUCUUGACACAAUGCCCACUUAACCCGGAAGCCAGCCGCAUCAAUGUGACUGAGGAAACACCGUACACCUGGCUACCGUGUAAGCGUGCAUUGCGCCCAGCCCGCCACAGAAGUCGCUAGAGUGCAAUGGGAUAAGAACAUCCCUGCCAGCCAAACCCUCCCUAACCCGGAUGACGCUGGGACAAUUUUGCGCCGCCCCAUGGGUCUCCCGGUCGCGGCAGAGCCUGGACUCAAACCAGGAUCUCUGCUAUCACUGUGAUGCAGUGCCUUAGACCAGCGGUCUCCAACUUCCGGGCUGCGGACCGGCACAUUCGCUACCGGGCUUAUCUGUAAAAUAAAAUGAUAAUUAUAUACAAUUAUAGGCU
This is a long non-coding RNA of Oncorhynchus tshawytscha (Chinook salmon), 561 nucleotides long. The record is from Ensembl. NCBI's taxonomy places the organism in Eukaryota, Metazoa, Chordata, Actinopteri, Salmoniformes, Salmonidae.